Non-coding RNA from Sarcophilus harrisii (Tasmanian devil), 46 nucleotides. NCBI's taxonomy places the organism in Eukaryota, Metazoa, Chordata, Mammalia, Dasyuromorphia, Dasyuridae. The record is from Rfam.
UUAAUGGGCUUUUUCAAGGCCACCCAAAUAGUAAGAAAUAUUAUUU